CAAGUCGAACGAGAAAGCCGGAGCAAUCUGGUGAGUAAAGUGGCGUACGGGUGAGUAACACGUGGAUUAUCUACCUCCUUGUGGGGAAUAACCUUGGGAAACCGAGGAUAAUACCGCAUAAGUCCGUAAGGAGAAAGCAGCAAUGCGCUGGGAGAGGAGUCCGCGGCCGAUUAGCUAGUUGGCAGGGUAAAAGCCUACCAAGGCAGAGAUCGGUAGCCGGCCUGAGAGGGCACACGGCCACACUGGCACUGAAACACGGGCCAGACUCCUACGGGAGGCAGCAGUGGGGAAUCUUGCACAAUGGGGGAAACCCUGAUGCAGCGACGCCGCGUGAGCGAUGAAGCCCUUCGGGGUGUAAAGCUCUUUCGGCAGGGAAGAUUAUGACGGUACCUGCAGAAGCAGCUGCGGCUAACUACGUGCCAGCAGCCGCGGUAAUACGUAGGCAGCGAGCGUUGUUCGGAGUUACUGGGCGUAAAGGGUGUGUAGGCGGUUGCUUAAGUUUGGUGUGAAAUCUCCCGGCUCAACUGGGAGGGUGCGCCGAAUACUGAGUGACUAGAGUGCGGGAGAGGAAAGUGGAAUUCCUGGUGUAGCGGUGAAAUGCGUAGAUAUCAGGAGGAACACCGGUGGUGUAGACGGCUUUCUGGACCGUAACUGACGCUGAGACACGAAAGCGUGGGUAGCAAACAGGAUUAGAUACCCUGGUAGUCCACGCCCUAAACGAUGCAUAUUUGGUGUGGGUCAUUCAGUUGAUCCGUGCCGGAGCUAACGCGUUAAAUAUGCCGCCUGGGGAGUACAGUCGCAAGGCUGAAACUCAAAGGAAUUGACGGGGGCCCGCACAAGCGGUGGAGCAUGUGGUUCAAUU
This 862-nucleotide ribosomal RNA is filed under the name uncultured Bacillota bacterium. Its description in RNAcentral is "bacterial SSU rRNA". It matches the Rfam family "Bacterial small subunit ribosomal RNA", at positions 58 to 951 of the family's 1533-position model. The record is from RNAcentral. Lineage: Bacteria; Bacillati; Bacillota.